This 696-nucleotide long non-coding RNA is filed under the name Amborella trichopoda. RNAcentral describes it as "long non-coding RNA (ATRI_LNC004913)". The record is from RNAcentral. Lineage: Eukaryota; Viridiplantae; Streptophyta; Magnoliopsida; Amborellales; Amborellaceae.
UGUCAUUUAACAUUUUCGCUACCUUACUUUCCUCCUCUUCUUCUUCCAUCCCAUUUCGAUUUGCGUCAUCCCCAAGAGACAAGAGCAAAAGAAGAUCCACCUCCAGCUGAAUGUUGAGAGGGACUUAGUCAUCAACCUUCACAAGUGCACCCUGAGCAUCAAAUUAGUCUUCCUGCUCCAUCUCAUCCGUCAGUAAAAGAUUUGUGGCCAAAUCCUCAAGGGGCAUCACAUAAGAAUCAACUUGGUCCUCUAAUUGCUCCAUGUUAGCAUCAAAGACGGGGAUGAUAGCAAAGGAUGAACCUCCAGGGGAUCAAACAUCGGCUUGGGAGUGGCUGGAGGCCCCGUUCUCAUUGCCCGUCUAAACGGCAGAAGUUUAAUCCUCUCCCUAAGAAGAAGAAGAAACAACAACCAGAGAACUUUUAGGUAUUCUUUGUGGCUUAGGAGAUCCAACUUAGUAAGAAGUAAAACUUCUCCCAACAAGCAACCUUUAAGCAAAGAGGGGUCUUCAAUCUCCCGAUCCUCUUUCCUUGAUGAGAGAAGCACAACUUUCAAGGAGAGCUCCACCUGGUUGAUAGGGAAGGCAACUUCCAAACACAGUGGUGCACUUUCCAAAAAAAUAUCCUUUCUUUCUCAAGAUUUCACAUGAGUGCCAUCUGUGUUAUCUACACCGCCACGCCCAAUACACAAAGAGUUUUG